UGGCCUUGCAGACUUUGAAUCCUUUU
RNAcentral lists this non-coding RNA (26 nucleotides) under Mus musculus (house mouse). Lineage: Eukaryota; Metazoa; Chordata; Mammalia; Rodentia; Muridae. The record is from RNAcentral.